GGGAGGAGUGGGCGAGGAGCCGGGGGAAUACUGGGGGGUGAAGGGUUAAUCGGAUUGUCUGGGCGUAACGAGGUCGUGGGUGGUGGUGUAAGUUGGAUGUGAAACACCCUGGCGUAGCCUGGGCACUGCAUUAAAUGCUGCACGGGUAGAGUAUUGGAGAGGAAGGUAGAAUUCCAGGUGUAGCGGUGAAAUGCGUAGAGAUCUGGAGGAAUAACGAUGGCGAAGGCAGCCUUCUGGCCAAAUACUGACGCUGAGGUGCGAAAGCAUGGGGAGCAAACAGGAUUAGAUACCCGAGUAGUC
Molecule: ribosomal RNA, 300 nt
Filed under: uncultured Pyrobaculum sp.
Lineage: Archaea; Thermoproteati; Thermoproteota; Thermoprotei; Thermoproteales; Thermoproteaceae
Description: bacterial SSU rRNA
Rfam family: Bacterial small subunit ribosomal RNA (bases 52-300)
Source: RNAcentral